Liolophura sinensis is the source of this 2742-nucleotide long non-coding RNA. RefSeq lists it as uncharacterized. The transcript has 2 exons. Lineage: Eukaryota; Metazoa; Mollusca; Polyplacophora; Chitonida; Chitonidae. The record is from RefSeq and is a predicted model, not a curated record.
UCCGCGGCAAAUCACCAACUGUAGCUGCCGUCUCUUAAACAUUACUAGGUAAAGCCUCCUCUUGUUUGUACAUGUACUGAAUUUCAUUUUAAAGCGAUAUAUUGUCAGCAAAAAUAGUAUUCAGGACAGGUAGGAGGAGCUAAGUGACGCUCCGUCCAACAAUACAUUACAUACCUGUAAGACUUUAACGUCGUCACUUCAUUGGUCACGGCAACACUAAUUUAUAUAAAACGGUUGUUUAUAAUGGAUAUUUUUUCUCAGUGAGAUACAUAAUUCUUUUUGAGCCUUUACGUUGUCUGUAUAAAAUGGGGAAUUUUCUAUUUAUGUGUGAAGAUGAUACAGACGACGAUCUAUUCGACAAUUCGUUCAAAGAAGAUCAUUUCAGUGAAAACUGCCACUUGAUGGAAGAGCGUAUACAAUGCAAGCGUGAGGACCUGAAAAAAAAAAAUCGUUGUCAUUUGUAAAUGUAAAAAAAAAACAAGCAGGGAAGAGAUACAUGGCGUUACAUGUGAAAAAAGACGAAAGACAGUGAAAGGAAAGAUCAUUUUGUCGGUGAAAUGUCAGUGUCCUCCGUGUUGUAAAAAAUGAAGAGCAAACAAUUUGGUACAAGCAAUAUUCAAGGGUAUGUCCCAUUUAGAGCCCGUUGUCUCAUUUUUUUCCUUUCCUUAUAAAUCUGAUGCAUUUACCUCUCCUACAUAUACUUCUAGCAGGAAUGUCAUUUUCCUAUACUGACUAUGGCUUGCAGCUUACUACUAAGUAUCACUUGCACUCACGUGCGAUAGAGCACUGACCAGCCAUCCUCAGCUACAGCCAUGGCGUCACAGCUGGCUAAAUGGUAACUUUAAGUAGCGAAGACCGUAUUAGGUUAAUUCUAUGUCUGUAGAGGGACAUUUAUAUAGGUCUCAUUUGUACUUAUGCAUGUAUGAGGAAUCCUUUCUACACCUGGUUACAUAUGUAAGUUUUGUGUUAAUUCUACAUUGUGUCUUCUGUAAAACGAAUGAAUCUGGAAACAUAGUACUGUGUAUUGGUGAAGCACACGUAACUUUAGGCUGAUUAUUUUCCCUCUGUCUAUCGCGAGAGCUGUGAUUCACCGAACUGUGCGCUACGUUUGAUUUGCUGGAAUUCCCGGCUCAAAGCCACACCUCCCUCGGAGAUAUAAAUACGAAUAUUAUCCCGAUACCAUGACAAAGUGCAUGGCUUUCUAUUGGUUCACAGAUCAUGACGUGUACACAAAUUAAAUAUUCAAAUCAAGCAAAGCGUUAUAAAGUCUUGAAGAAAAUGCUAAAAGCUGAGUUUUGAAAUGAUUUAGAGCGAACGACACAAACAUGUCGCAAUACACUAACCAGCCAAGAUGGGAGGACGUUGUAGAUUAUUCGUUCAAUAACACUCCCAUAAUCGAGGAAAAUCACAAGAAUGACCAAUGCGGGUGGAAAAAGGUGGAAGUCGACAGAUCCCGUGGAAACUACAAGGCGGAUUUCGCAGAGUUUGUUGUUGUGGAAAGUACGAUGAUGACAUCAUGGAAAUACACUAUAGCAGAGCAUGCAAUUUUGAUGAUGGAUACUGGUGGUUAAGCUUUUUUGGGUGGCUCUGGUAUUUGAAGCGCAGGUGUGCUUGCAGCCCUAGACAGCACUAAAACGAGUUAUAAAUAAACAUCUACAACAAGACUGAUGUUACUUCUAUUCUCUCGGACUUGAAUGUUUGUGAAAAAGGUUUCUUGCUGUGAUUUCCAUACUAACAAGGUCGUGUGUUUCCGAGACAUUGAUGUCGACAUUGCCUAGAAAAGUUGGACCUUGUCAGAAAUAACUGGACAUUGCCUAGAAGACCUGGACAUUGCCUAGAAGACCUGGACAUUGCCUAGAAGAACUGGACGAUGCCUAGAAGAACUGGAUAUUUCCUGAAAAAAUAGCGUAUAGUGUGUUAAAGUAUAUGGUCAGCCAACAGUGUUCUACUUGUGGGAAAAGCUUCACUGCAGUGUGGUGUGUUAAUUUCUGUAAUAAAAUAUAAGUAAAAUCUCAUAUAAAAGGCAAACUUUAAUUAAUGCCAAUCACACAAACUUACUCACUCGAUCAACUGUUCUGGACGGUCACUAUCCAUACAUUUAUUGAAUUUUACAACUUUUUUUUCUAGGGUACUUGGGCCAACAUUGUAACACCGACGAUUUUGUCAGCAAUAUAUAUGCAUCGACAAAGCAAUAUGAUGCUGCAGCACAAAGGCAAUGUCAGACAUAAGAGCUCAUUGAGCUUAUGCUACAUGUAUUUCUUAGCUAAUUAGCGUAUGGUAUGAAAAUAAUAUAUUCACUGUACUUGUAGAAAAAUAGAAAAUAUGGUAAUGCAGAAUAUACCACCAAUUAAUUUAUUCAAUUAAUUAUUUGAUAAAAAUCCAUUAAAGCCUACAGAGACAAUAUUAUUUUUGAAUUUGUCAAAUUUGUGUUACAAUGCGUACUUUCCUGUCGCUUUUGGAAACCUUUCUUACAGUCAAGGUGCUCCUUAGUCUACUUUUUGUCCAUUGUAAGAAAGGUUCAAACAGCUUUUGAAAUACACUAUCUUACAGCCUCCAAGCAUUUUUUGUUUCAUUUGUAUUCGUGGAGAUUGUCAUAAUUGCCUUUUAGUUACAGCUGCCUUAACUGUUAAGAGCAAAAUCGAAAAUUAGUUAUGUUGAGGAAUAACAUUAGAAAGUUGACACGGCUUCAUGAUCCUAGGUCAAAUGUCAAGGUCAGAAAAUAAAGUAAAAUAUUCAACAUCA